Molecule: non-coding RNA, 806 nt
Organism: Oryctolagus cuniculus (rabbit)
Lineage: Eukaryota; Metazoa; Chordata; Mammalia; Lagomorpha; Leporidae
Source: RefSeq, a predicted model, not a curated record
AGAGGGGCUACCCAGCAUGCCACAGUCCAGGAAGAGGGGGCUACCCAGCAUGCCACAGUCCAGGAAGGUGGGGACUACCCAGCAUGCCAGGGCCAAGGAAAGUGGGAACUACCCAGCGUGCCAGGGCCCAGGAAGAGGGGGACUACCCAGUGUGCCAGGGCCCAGGAAGAGGGGGCUACCCAGAAUGCCACGGUCCAGGAAGAGGGGGCUACCCAGUGUGCCAGGGCCAAGGAAAGUGGAAACUACCCAGCAUGCCACAGCCUGGGAAGGUGGGGACUACCCAGUGUGCCAGGGCCCAGGAAGGUGGAGACUACCCAGAAUGCCACGGUCCAGGAAGAGGGGCUACCCAGCAUGCCAAGGCCCUGGAAGGGUCUCCAUAGCCAGAGUGUCAUGGUCCCGAGGAGCAAUCUACGGAGAACCGCCGUCUUUAGGGCGACGCCGUUCCAGCCCCUCUGCUGUGCUGGAGUUAAUGACCGACCCAGGAAGUAUGUUCUCAUCACACAAGGAAGGGCCCGGUGCCCAGGUGGAGACACACACCCUUCACGUGUUUUCUGUCUGUUCUGUCGGUGGCCAGAGAGAGAAAGCCCAGCGUCAACCUCGCUGCUUUAAACAGGAGGCCCGGCAGACACACCAACGCUGACUGGCUUCCCACAGCUGUGUCUUUGGAGGAGUAGUGUUUAUUUUACUGGUUAAACUCCAGGAGUCCACACACACACACACACACACACACACGAAAAAGCUCCCUUAAUGUAUCUUUUUAUUUUUCCAAAGUUACUGUAUUACUCAGAUAUUUGCCACCAAAGUAA